RNAcentral lists this ribosomal RNA (159 nucleotides) under Ostreopsis cf. ovata HJ-2013. Its description in RNAcentral is "5.8S ribosomal RNA". It matches the Rfam family "5.8S ribosomal RNA". From Rfam's summary of the family: 5.8S ribosomal RNA (5.8S rRNA) is a component of the large subunit of the eukaryotic ribosome. It is transcribed by RNA polymerase I as part of the 45S precursor that also contains 18S and 28S rRNA. Lineage: Eukaryota; Dinophyceae; Peridiniales; Ostreopsidaceae. The record is from RNAcentral.
UAGCAUCUUACAGCAAUGAAUGCAUCAAUUCAAAACAAUAUGAAGAGUGCAGCCAAAUGCAAUAAUCAUUGCAAAUCGCAGAAUUACGUGACUCAUUUUUCUUGAAUGUAGGCAUGUUCUUGGGCCAUUCCUAAGGACAUCAUUCAUUCAGUGCACCAU